RNAcentral lists this ribosomal RNA (253 nucleotides) under uncultured bacterium. Its description in RNAcentral is "partial 16S ribosomal RNA". It matches the Rfam family "Bacterial small subunit ribosomal RNA", at positions 524 to 776 of the family's 1533-position model. The record is from RNAcentral.
UACAGAGGUCUCAAGCGUUGUUCGGAUUCAUUGGGUGUAAAGGGUGUGUAGGUGGCGCUGUAAGUCGGGUGUGAAAUUUCGGAGCUUAACUCCGAAACUGCAUUCGAUACUGCGGUGCUUGAGGACUGGAGAGGAGACUGGAAUUCAUGGUGUAGCAGUGAAAUGCGUAGAUAUCAAGCGGAACACCAGUGGCGAAGGCGAGUCCCUGGACAACUCCUGACACUGAGGCACGAAAGCUAGGGGAGCAAACAGG